RNAcentral lists this ribosomal RNA (242 nucleotides) under uncultured Petrimonas sp. RNAcentral describes it as "partial 16S ribosomal RNA". It matches the Rfam family "Bacterial small subunit ribosomal RNA", at positions 796 to 1041 of the family's 1533-position model. The record is from RNAcentral. Lineage: Bacteria; Pseudomonadati; Bacteroidota; Bacteroidia; Bacteroidales; Dysgonomonadaceae.
CACGCAGUAAACGAUGAUUACUAGUUGUUUGCGAUACACAGUAAGCGACUGAGCGAAAGCAUUAAGUAAUCCACCUGGGGAGUACGUUCGCAAGAAUGAAACUCAAAGGAAUUGACGGGGGCCCGCACAAGCGGAGGAACAUGUGGUUUAAUUCGAUGAUACGCGAGGAACCUUACCCGGGCUUGAAAUGCAUUUGACCGGCAGAGAGAUCUGCCUUCUCUUCGGAGCAGAUGUGUAGGUGC